GAUGAACGCUGGCGGCGUGCUUAACACAUGCAAGUCGAACGAAGCACUUUAUUUGAUUUCCUUCGGGACUGAUUAUUUUGUGACUGAGUGGCGGACGGGUGAGUAACGCGUGGGUAACCUGCCUUGUACAGGGGGAUAACAGUUGGAAACGGCUGCUAAUACCGCAUAAGCGCACAGCAUCGCAUGAUGCAGUGUGAAAAACUCCGGUGGUAUAAGAUGGACCCGCGUUGGAUUAGCUAGUUGGUGAGGUAACGGCCCACCAAGGCGACGAUCCAUAGCCGACCUGAGAGGGUGACCGGCCACAUUGGGACUGAGACACGGCCCAAACUCCUACGGGAGGCAGCAGUGGGGAAUAUUGCACAAUGGGCGAAAGCCUGAUGCAGCGACGCCGCGUGAGCGAAGAAGUAUUUCGGUAUGUAAAGUUCUAUCAGCAGGGAAGAUAAUGACGGUACCUGACGAAGAAGCACCGGCUAAAUACGUG
This 481-nucleotide ribosomal RNA is filed under the name uncultured bacterium. RNAcentral's name for it is "partial 16S ribosomal RNA". It matches the Rfam family "Bacterial small subunit ribosomal RNA", at positions 28 to 507 of the family's 1533-position model. The record is from RNAcentral.